Molecule: long non-coding RNA, 2702 nt
Filed under: Homo sapiens (human)
Lineage: Eukaryota; Metazoa; Chordata; Mammalia; Primates; Hominidae
Description: HSALNT0383196
Source: RNAcentral
UAACAGAUGCAAAAUGUAGGACUGACAGGAUGUAUGCCCCUGUAAACAGGAUGGGGCUUAAUCCCUUGGAAAGUAAUGUAAUGCAAUUCAAUGCAAGAUUUCACAGGGACUUUAGGUGAUUUUGUUUCCCAGGAAAACCUAACAGAAUUAUGCAGCUGUACAUCCUUGGGAUGGGCACCAAUAGACCAAAAAAAAAAAAGUAUUAUUUUUCAAAGAGCAGACUAAAUCUCACCUCAUUUCCCCCACGAUAUUUGCUCUCUGCUUUCUAGGAAGAAGAAGCAAAGCACACCAUUGAUGUGUGUGGGUUUGAUGUAGCAUCUUCUAAGAGGUCUACAAAGAGACAUUGCAAAGCCAGGCCUCUAAAUGAUUCCUCUGUGAAACAUUGGGCCAAACAUUCCGUAACCCCUUCCUGCUCUGGUGAUCAUGCUCCCAUGACCAGAUCAUUGAACCAUUCUAGAGACUUCAAAUCCAUUGAGAUGGGAUUAAUGCCUUUGCCUACUCAGGCAGAGGACAGACUGACCAUUGCAAGUGUUCAUCAGCAUUUUCCUGCUCUUAGACGGAAAGGCCAAGGCCACCCCAAGCAUGCUGAAAUUAAUGGGCCAUCGUCAGGAAGGAGUUCACAACUGUAUAUGGAGCCAGAACAAAUGGAGAGACCUCGUUCAGUCGAUGGAUGGUAGCAACAAGGAAGAAAGCAAAUGGAGAAAUGACAUCUCAUGACCCAGUGACAUCAAGCAGGAGAAAAGGAUAUACUCUCCAUUGUGUGGUCUGUGGACUGGCAGCAUCAUCAUGGGUGAGAAAUGAAAAACGUGGGGUCUUCCCUCACAUGGAUCAGUAUCUGCAGUUUCACAAGCUCCCGAGGGGUGAGUGCACAUGAAGGAUUGAGUAUUGCUCCAAAUAACCAGACCAACAAGGUAAGUGUGGUGCUUUUUGGUUUUACCCGAUUACAGGUGUCCAUUUAGUUGUGAUACAGCAACAGACAUAUUCAUUCCUUCUUGGCUACAUCUUAUUGUUUGGCAAGAUAUCUGUAUUUAGACACAUUACUAUGGUACAGCGGUUCUCAAAGUGUGGUCCACGGACUGGAAGUAUCAGCCUCACUUGGGAAUCUGUUAGAGAUGCAAAUUCUCUGGCCACACCCCAGACCUACUGAAUCAGAAACUCUGGGACUGGGGCUCAAAGUCUGUGUCUUGACCAGCGUUCCAGAUAAUUCUGAUGGGCUGUGGUAGUGAGACCCACUACUGUAGUACCUAGCUGCUCCAAUAAGCAGACAAUCUUGUCAUUAUAAAGCAGUCUACCAGAGUUUGAAGCAGUAGAAAAUCAAUGACUAAUGGAGAACAGGAAUGAUAAUCCAGCUCAGUUUCAUUUUUAUCUUAGAAUUAAUUGGAAAAUGUAUAGGUCGAGUGUUUCUUUCUAAUCUUUCUUUAAAUGCUCGGCCAGUGCCUGGAUUUUUGCCUUUAAUUCUAAUGUCCUCCUUGCUCAGGGAGGAUGCCUUUGGUGGAAGCCAAAGUUACUGCCUAAAAGACCAGUUUACUACAAAUAGGUAAGAAGAAACCUGCCUAAAAUCAAUCACCUACUUUAAGUUAAUCAGAUGUUCUAAGUGGAUGAUUUAUAUGACUCACAAAGGGCAUUUCAAAAAAGUUGCUGUGGACCCAGCUUCAGCAGUGAAUUUUGUGUUCUAGGUGAAUAAAAAGGAAAGUUUUGCAAGCAAAUGCUGACUUGCAGAUGGGCAGGUACUGCAUAGUUCAUGAACAGGAGGCACACCUGCUCUGAAGUUCUGCAGCCAACAAAGCUGUUUAAAGAGAAAGGGAGAAGCAAUCAGUAUUACCCACUGGUGCCUCCAAGAAGUGCCAAAGGAGGUACUUCUCAUUUUAAACAAGUCGAAUAAUAAGGUGCAGAUUAGAAUCAAAUGUGUAGGCAAUCCUUUUUCCUGGGCAGCACUGCCUCCACUCAGAGCCGGUCACAGAUGAGCAAAAUUGACUUCCUGGCUUAUCUCAUUUUCAGUUGAAAAUAUUGUUGAUGCAUUUGCUUCUAUGAAAGCCAGGAAAGUAAAAUUAUAGUAGAUCCAAUUUUAGGUAUGAAGAAAUACUUCAACAUAAAAUAAUGUGAGCUUUAAUACACUGGUCUUUCAAUUUUUCAAUAAUUUCUCAACUUCUUCAAUGGCCCAUAAAAAAAGAACUACAAAAAUAUAUAUAAAGAUAUACGUAUAUCAGGUAGACAUUUUCAGUUUUGCCUUAGGCUUCGAUAAAGAUUGACAAGGUAUUGUUGGGCUACAUCAUUUAUUUAAAAAUCUUGAUAUUUUGUUCAUGAACAUUUUUCCAUUGUUUUUAAAAAUUCAUUAAAAUAUUAUUUAUCUUCAUUACUGAUUUUUGGCACCCUCUUAAAUUAGCCCAAGGCUAGUGCCUUCCUUGUCUCACCCUCGUCCUGGAUCUGCUGCAGAGAAUUGAGUUCAACUUAUUGGGAUGAAAAAAAUUGUUUUUUCUUGUUAAACAUCAUAGUGCAAUGAAGAUAUAUUGGGCUUUUGAAUAAAACGGGACAUCUUUUGAAUCCUUGCUGUCAUUUACUAGUUUGUGAUUUUGUGGAUAUGUAAUACUGUUUGAUGUCCUAACUUCCCUGAAAAUCAGUUUUAUAAGUUAACUUGUGUUUUUAUAUUUGUUAGAUAUUUUUGUUCCAUUAUGUAAAUUGCAUGUUCUCUGAAUAUAUUUCUG